CGGGAUUCGUGAUUCUAUAUGCAAGUACUUGCAAAUUCUUGAGUUGUGAUAUAUAACUCAAGGAACUCAAUGGGUUGGUUUCAUCAUCAUCAUAAGGCUUCAACUCCACAACAAUACCUAAUUCCUUUAAAUUAGGAAUUCUUUUGACAACUUCCCUUGUACAACUGUUUGCACUUACACCAAUAAGUGCGUCGAGUUUAUUUAAGGUAGCAUCAUCAGUAUUAGGGGUUGGUAGGUCCCUUCCCCAAAUCUCAAUAUGUUCUAGUUCUUGCAUGUCCCAAAUUUGCACCGGCAUAUAUGACUGAAAUCCACGCUUUUUAAUGGUCAAAUAUCUUGCAAUAACCAAGAAUUGAAGGUGAAAAAGGUUGGAUAUGGAAGCAGGGAGGUCACCGUUGCAAGUUAGGGCAAGCCAUUGCAGACAAACUAGUUUCGAAAUUUCAAUUGGGAUAUGGUAAAAUCGGACUUCAAAAGCAUAUAGUACCCUAAGCAACUUGAAAUCCAUGGCAUGUAUUGGUAUUGGAUAUGGGUGAUAAGGACCAAAACAAAGGAGAGAACGGGCAGUGGAUGCACAACCACUUUUUAUCGAAUCAGACACUUGGUUGAAGCAGAAUAAACUGUUCCAAUGGGCACACAAGCGGCGCUGGUCUUUUAUAACAUCAUCACAACUUUGUAAGACAUGCAGAAACUUGAUCCUACUAGCUUCUUCCUUACACAAGUGCUGCCAGCAAGAAUGCACACGAUACUUUCUCUCCCAAGACCAAUAUUCAUCCUCUGGAGAUGUGUCGAGAACAAGAUGGUACCACAUAGAAAGCUUUUCCAAGCAUGCCCUGAAUAAAGAUUCAAAACUUUCUUCUCCAAUCGGUUGAAGAAACCCCUCAGCACUCAACAGAAUGUUGAGCAUGUAUAGAUUCAAAUCAAGAUAUGGACGGAAAGCUCCCAUAUAGAGAAAAAACAUUUUUAACUGUUGGGGUAAAUAGUCAUAGCUUGGGAAAAGUACCUCUGAUAUUUGAUUAUAUGCAUCCACAAAGACUGAACUACGUUGCUUGAUGAGUACCUCAGUCCAGUAUUGUGGGGUCUUAUCGGCUUUUGAUAGGAGGUCAGCAACCGUGACUAUCAUAAGAGGAAGGCCUUCACAUUUCUUGGCAAUCUUCUCUCCCAGUUCCUCAAGUUGAGGAGGGAAACCCUCUUCACCAAAUACCUUCUCACCAAGUAAUUCCUUACUUUCUUCCUCAUUCAACAAGUGCAUUCUUCCGUACCCAUUCUCCGCGAAUAUAAUUUUUUUUCUACUUGUAAGUAAGAAUCGAAUCCUUCCAACAAUAUUCUCUUCUCCCAAGCAAUUUCUCAAGUGAUUUGUUGCUUGUAUCUCCCAAACAUCAUCCAAUACAAUGAGACAUUUCUUACCCUUCAAACAUUCUUUCAAGAUUCCAACUAAUUCUUCCUCAUCAACAUCAUCUUGGGUAAGCUGAUGGUAAGAGUUGGGAUCCACUUGAGCUAGAAUGCAUCGUAACAGUUCAUUGGAUUCACAUUUUCUGCCCACUCUGACCCAUGCUCGAAACUCAAAAUAUCUUCGAAUUGAUGGAUCUUCAAAAAUAUUCACAGCAAGAGUCGACUUUCCAACGCCCGCCAUCCCAAUAAUGGAAUAGGUUUCAUUGUUAUUUUCUUCAAGAAGAUACUUUCUCGCUUUCUCAAAAUGAUCAGAUGAUCCAACCAUCUUUGAAGUUCUCCUUCCAUCAAAAUCGAUUCUUGAGGAAAUAGGGUCGCCUUCUUCUUCAGGCAUAUUCUCCAUUUCAUUAGUGUAUUCCUCCUCCAUCAUCUUCAUCUUCUCGACGAAGCAAUCAACAUGGUGUUGCAGACUCUGCAGCUCUACAGGGAAUGACAAGCUGUCUCUCUCGCUUUCGAGUUGUGGAAGAAUCUGAUGUAAGACAUGGGAUUCGAGUAAAUCUUCAAAUUCCCAAACUGCCUCUUUGAUUCGUUCAUCCACACCAUUCACGUUCGUCCUGAUCUUGCUGCAGCUGGUGUCGUCCAAUUUUAGCAGAACAUUCUGCAAGCGAUCCAUCUCGUCAUAGGCAGGUUGCAAGAUUAGUGGAGAGUGGGAAUCGAGAGAAAUGCGAGACGAUUGUAGAAUACGCUGAAUCGUAUUCUUAAGAGAAGUCGCUGCACCAUAAGCAGCCAUAGCGAAAUUUUCAAGGCAGAAUCGCUGAGAAUUUCCCUCCAAUAUGAAGCUUAAAAUGAACUCUGAAAAUAACUAAAAAUCAGCUGAUAUAUGAAGCUUAAAAUGAAAUCUAAAAUAAACUAAAAUUAGUUGCAGUAUAAAGCUUAAAAUGAACUAAAAUCAGCUGCAAUAUGUAGCUUAAAAUGAACUAAAAUCAGCUGCUAUAUGAAGCUUAAAAUGAACUCUAAAAUCAGCUGCAGCGCGUCAAACCCAAUUAGCCUAACAAAGAAAGAAAGAGGAAUUUUAAUAAGCAAAUUGAGAUGAAACAUAUCUAAACUGUACCUCUAUGAGAGGAGAUUGGAGCGAGUCGGCGCGGCGGCAGCUGUGUUUGUUCGGUGUUUACGAGGUCGUCGGAAUAAGAUGAUGAAAAAGGGAAUAGGCGGCGCUGUGUGUUAGUGUUGGUGUUAUACUGUUAUUAGAGAAUAGAUUUAUCAUUUUAAGAACUAAAGUGUAAUUAAUUAAGAUGAAAAUAAAAUUAUUUCAAAAAAAAAAGAUGAAAAUAAAAUGGUUUAAAAAGGUGAGUGAGAGAAAUAAGUGGGUUGGGCCGUUCAUUAUUUUCAAUUGAGUUGGGCUUAAUUAACUAAGUUAUUGGGUUUGCCAACUAAAUAAAUAUGCUUCUUAUAAUUAAUUCAUUAAUUAAAAUAAAGGUUGCUUUUUUUUUUAUAAUUGUUGAUUUCGUAUUUUGGGUUUACAAUCAACUCACUUGUAAUUGAACUAUUGAACUAAUAUCGAUUAUUUUUUUUAUAAUUAAAAUAUCGAUUAGAUGUUGUUUCGGCUUGAUGUAAUGGCAAAGGAAGCCAAAAUUUAUCUCAAAUGCAAAAAACUUAAAACAAAUUAACAAUAGACAAUGGCCACUAUGAGACUCUCGAUUACAACUUAUAUACACAAUUCAACACUAAGUUUCAUGCUCAGUUGCAAAUGAAAGAUGAAGCUGAUCACAAAAGUCAUCAGAAAUUAAUUAAUUAUAUUGCCAGAAUUUGAAAAUGUAAAGCUAUUGAAAACACACAUCAACUUAUAACACACAAUAUCAAAACGAAGUGAAAUCAUGCAUAACAAGUAAUGCUUUCACACAAAUCCAACUUACAACAAUUUCUAUUACAAACAACAUACAUAAGUCACAACUCAUGUUUCAUAACACUCGAAAAAAUCCAAAGCAAGUUACAAUCCUUAAAUUCAGACGACAAUGUCGUAACACAAUCUAAAUUAUGGGAUAACGCGGCGUCUGAGCCCUUCAGCUCUCUCAUUUGCCUGAAAAUUUACAGAACUGUGAUUAUAACGAAGAUAUGACAUGAAUUGAUUUGGUUUGUAUGUGACAAAAGAGAAGAAGUAGGGAAGAAACAUUAAAGACUUGAUAUGUAUUGCAAAGUAGUAAGACUAACCUGUCACGCGAGUUGCAAAGUCCCUUGAGCUCAGAAAGAUGAACGAGUGGUAAGUUUAAAGGAAAACUUAUGCUUUAAUUGAUUGGCACAAGCCACACCUAAAGGAUUGCACUCCACUAAUUCAAUGGUCUUGAUACAAGACUGAUCAUCCGGUAAAUCGAGUUGCUGCAAUUUAUAGCAGUGCUUCAUGAUUAGUUUAAGAAGCCUCGGAAGGCUUCCACGUUGAGGUCUCCAUUGCACCAAAUCGGUGUCCCUAAUUUCAAGUUUAGUAAGUUUCAAAAAACUCCCCAGUUUUAUUUCCCAUUCUGGGCCUCGAAAUGCAUAGCAUUUUAAUUGGAGAACCGAGAGAUUUGGAAGCAGCGAACCAAUAUCAUUCAUGUACUUCCAAGGACAUCCCACCCCCCUCAAAUAUAACUCUGUGAGACUUGAUGGGAACAUUGAAAGAGGAAUAAAAGUAGGAAAGUCGCACUUUAUCACGGGAUUCUUGAUUUUAUAUCUAAGCACUUCCAAAUUCUGGAGUUUUGAUAUAUAACUCAAGGAACUCAAUGGGUUGGUUUCAUCAUCAUCAUAAGGAUUCAAAUCCACAACAAUGUCUAAAUGCGUUAAAUUAGGAAUUCUUUUGAGAACUUCCCUUGUACAACUGUUUGCACUCACACCAUAAAGUCCGCUGAGUUUGUUCAAGGUAGCAUCAUCAGAAUUAGGGGUUGGUAGGUCCCUUCCAAUUAUCACAAGAUGCUCUAGUUCUUGCAUGUCCCAAAUUUGCACAGGCAUAUAAAACUGAACUCCACGCUUUUUAAUGUACAUAUGUGGCCUGAUAAUCAAGAAUUGAAGGUGAAAAAGGUUGGAUAUGGAAGGAGGGAGCUCCCCGUUGCAUUUUAGGGAAAGGUACCGCAGACAAACAAGUUUUAAAAUUUCAAUUGGGAUAUGGUAAAAUCGAACUCUAAUAGCAUAUAGUACUCUAAGCAACUUGAAACCCAUGGCAUGUAUUGGGAUUGGAUAUGGGUGAUAAGGACUCAAACAAAGGAGAGAACGGACAGUGGAUGCACAAUCACUUUUUA
RNAcentral lists this long non-coding RNA (4649 nucleotides) under Salvia miltiorrhiza (redroot sage). Its description in RNAcentral is "long non-coding RNA (SMIL_LNC005463)". Lineage: Eukaryota; Viridiplantae; Streptophyta; Magnoliopsida; Lamiales; Lamiaceae. The record is from RNAcentral.